GUCGGACAAGACGAUUCUAAGGAAGGGACAGCGAGCAUAAGCCCGGGGUGACAGAAAGAAACUAAAAAUGAAAUUGGCUAGUAAUGGCCGUGACAGUGACCACAGAGGCUAACGCUCAGCUCUUCCACGCGGCAGGCUCUGCUGAGUGCUUCGCAGGAAUGAAGCCCGGACGCCUCCCGGCCAGCGCCCCUGUCCAGCAGGUGCUGUGUCCACCUGUGUUUCCCAGGUGCCGAGAUGGAGGCACAGUGACCUGCCCCCUGGUCGCCCGUCUUGUCAGGGGCAGAGCUGGGGAGGGAACCGGGGCCCCUGGCUCCACACUUCAGCUCUGCUGCCUUCCACGUCCGUGAGGAUAAGGGAGGAACUGCUUUUGCAAAUUGCUUCUCCCAGAAGGUGGAACCGCAUUGCACGCAGAAGAGUAACACAGCGACCCCUCCAUCUCCCAACAACAGGAUCCCAGGGCCAAGUGCGGUAACCGCUGGCCCGCGGAGCGCUCCAGGCACGGCCAGGACUGCGUGCCAACCGCCGGGCUCCCAAUAUUGUCUUCCAGUUGCUAGACUACGCUGCUUUCCAGUACAUUAUCUGGGGUAUAAAAGCUGAAAUGUAAGUAAAGCAUUUUCAUACAAAUAAUUUCAACCGCAACAAGGCCAUUGGCUCCUGAUGGAGUUGGCAGGAAAAGGUAAUGAACUCACCCCGAUGGACAUAUUCAGCGUUCCUCCGGCCAAGUCCAAUUGGCAGCUUCGUAAUGAUGGAAACGUCCCUGUUAUUUCCACUCCACCAGGGCUAGGCCCGCUGGUAUCUGAUUCAGUGUUUACUUCAUGAAUGAGGUCAGUUCCCAGCACAGCUGGGGUUUCGGCAGAGGGCUCGCGCUGCUGGUCAGCACACAGCGUUCCCACUAGAACCUGACCGGAGCUGACAGGGCUCCCAGGGCCCCCUUCCCGCAGCCUGCCCUGGGCAGCCACUGUCUCUGGCAUUUUCUGGGGUCUGGCCCCACUCGCUGCUCUGCUAGCCCCUUCCCUGCAGAGGCGGACAGAGCCCGGGGCUGCAGCCUGGCACACGGAGGGCACGUCCAAGUUCCCCACAGCCCGGCACUCACUCUCCAACUUGCCCCCUUGGUAUUGCGACAUCUCGCCUUGUAGGAGCUUCGGAGCUGCCAGGAAACAGGGUAGGUUUGUUUGUUUUGUGUUUUUAAAAUUAUUUAUUCCAGGAUGGCUCCACUUGUGUGGUGAGAGAGUGACUCAGAGUGCCUGGGACGCCACCUCCAAAGGUAACCAUGUCCCACUGGCCGGCGUGUCCCGGGCCAACUCCCCACACUGGUCAAAAACAAAAACAAAAGCUCCCACGGGCCCAGAACACUCCUCUGCAAGAGCACACACGUAUGGAGCAGUGUCCUCGCCGCUCAUGGAGGGACUAGGAACACUGCGGGGCAGGAAGG
Molecule: long non-coding RNA, 1432 nt
Organism: Myotis davidii
Lineage: Eukaryota; Metazoa; Chordata; Mammalia; Chiroptera; Vespertilionidae
Exons: 3
Source: RefSeq, a predicted model, not a curated record